UCACGGUUUACUUCAGGUGUUGGU
RNAcentral lists this non-coding RNA (24 nucleotides) under Arabidopsis thaliana (thale cress). Lineage: Eukaryota; Viridiplantae; Streptophyta; Magnoliopsida; Brassicales; Brassicaceae. The record is from RNAcentral.